CUUCUAUUAUUAUUGUUGUUGUUGUUGUUACUACUAUUGUCAUUAUCACUAUUAUCACUACUACUAUUAUUAAUAUUUUUAUUAAAACCACUAUUCUUCUAUUAUUAUUGUUGUUGUUGUUGUUAUUAUUAUUAUUAUUAUUGAAAAAAAAAACCAUGGACUUGAUUUGAAGGAUAUAAUUGAAAACUAUAAAAACAUUGAUAAAAAUGCUAAGAAAAAGAAUAAGAAAUCAAAAGAAGAGGGACCAAAUUGAAAUUAAUAUUAUCAUUGAAAAAAAAAAAUAUAAACUUGAUCUGAAGGAUGAAAUUGAAAGCCAUAAAAACUUUGACAAAAAAACAAGAAAAAAAAUAAGAAAUUAAAAGUAGAAGGAUUGAAUCGAAAAAUAUUAUAUAUACAAAUUAAAAAUUAAAGAGUUAAAUUGAAAACAAAUAAAACUUUAACAAAAGAAAAAAUAAAAAAAAUACAAAAAUCAAAACUUGAAGGACUGAAUCUGAAAUACCAAUAACAAUGAGGAUCAUAAUGUAUUUAUUGGGGUAGGAGAGAGAGAUUAAGAAAGAAAAAGAAAAGAAAAAAAAAAGGGUUAUUGAUGAUAAACUGGCUACAUUUGGAGGAUACACACCACCCAUAAUGGAUGAGGAGACAACGAGGAAUAAAAUGAGACAAUGAAAACUUAUUUUUUACCAUCGAAAGUCGUUGUGCGCUCCUAAAGUACAUAGUUGCUCCAAUGUGCUGACAGAUGUAAAACAUGUAUCAACAAUCUUUUCAAUUAAAAAAUAUUAUUUUAAUGAUAAAUUAUGUUAUUAUCCUUAACCAAACUAACAAAUAACAAAAAAAUUGAGGCUAAAAGAUCCCAAUACCUCUUAUCAUAAUGAAUUAAGUUUCUUGGAUUCAAGGAUAUAUGUGUAAUUGUAUAAUAUAUGAGAAAACAAAAAUAAAUACCCCUACCGGAGACAAUUUAUUUUUACUUUUAGGAAUAUUUUGGUUAUUUUAUUGUUCAUUAAAAAGUUGAAUAUAUAAAAAUAUACCCAAAUAAAUCAACAAUGAUUAAUGCGUAGUGUGAAAAUACCAAAAUAACUUUGGUUCAGAGGCAAAUAAUUUUUGCUGGGAAGGAGAAAAUGUUCAUUAUAUUGUACUGGUGAAUAGAAAAAUACGAGGCGGCUGCAAUGAUUUUGCCUUUCAGUUUUAGUUUUUUAUGUUAUUUGCUAGACAUAAGAGGUAUGAGUGGGUGAAGUGUUCCAAUGUUCGGUGGUGGACUGGUGCUGCUGCUGUAUGUUAGUGUGGGUUUGGAAUUGUGGUCGUAAAUGUUGAUUUGGAAUCGAAUUGCCACCUUCU
This 1332-nucleotide long non-coding RNA is filed under the name Populus trichocarpa (black cottonwood). RNAcentral describes it as "long non-coding RNA (PTRI_LNC002403)". Lineage: Eukaryota; Viridiplantae; Streptophyta; Magnoliopsida; Malpighiales; Salicaceae. The record is from RNAcentral.